UACAGAGGUCCCAAGCGUUGUUCGGAUUCACUGGGCGUAAAGGGUGCGUAGGUGGCAUGGUAAGUUUGAUGUGAAAGCUCAGGGCUUAACCCUGAAAUGGCAUUGAAUACUACCGUGCUGGAGGUUUGGAGGGGGGACUGGAAUUCUUGGUGUAGCAGUGAAAUGCGUAGAUAUCAAGAGGAACACCAGUGGCGAAGGCGAGUCCCUGGACAACACCUGACACUGAGGACGAAAGCCGGGGGAGCAAACAGG
This 252-nucleotide ribosomal RNA is filed under the name uncultured bacterium. Its description in RNAcentral is "partial 16S ribosomal RNA". It matches the Rfam family "Bacterial small subunit ribosomal RNA", at positions 524 to 776 of the family's 1533-position model. The record is from RNAcentral.